CAUAAUGGAUAGCAAUAUCUAUGGUGGCGACCGGCGCACGGGUGCGUAACGCGUAUGCAACCUACCUUUAACAGGGGGAUAACACUGAGAAAUUGGUACUAAUACCCCAUAAUAUCAUAGAAGGCAUCUUUUAUGGUUGAAAAUUCCGAUGGUUAGAGAUGGGCAUGCGUUGUAUUAGCUAGUUGGUGGGGUAACGGCUCACCAAGGCGACGAUACAUAGGGGGACUGAGAGGUUGAACGGCCACAUUGGGACUGAGACACGGCCCAGACUCC
Molecule: ribosomal RNA, 273 nt
Filed under: uncultured Alistipes sp.
Lineage: Bacteria; Pseudomonadati; Bacteroidota; Bacteroidia; Bacteroidales; Rikenellaceae
Description: partial 16S ribosomal RNA
Rfam family: Bacterial small subunit ribosomal RNA
Source: RNAcentral